RNAcentral lists this small RNA (79 nucleotides) under Sinorhizobium meliloti 2011. Its description in RNAcentral is "putative ncRNA". Lineage: Bacteria; Pseudomonadati; Pseudomonadota; Alphaproteobacteria; Hyphomicrobiales; Rhizobiaceae. The record is from RNAcentral.
AGCGUACGUUUUGAACCUUGUUUGAGGCGAACUCCAGAACGCGUCGUUCCGAACCAGCCAGCCUCACAUGGGCUCUGAU